GCCAACUCAAUGUCUCUUUGCAGCGCUCUGCAUGUAUCUGGCCAAUUGCUCCUGUCUGCUCAGUAGCAGUCCACGGUGCACACAGAGAGAGACUACGGCUUCAUGAUCGUUUUUCCUUGUGUUUCCAUUUCUUCAUAAAAUGGCUCCAGAAUGGGUAGAGGAGGAAGUUGUUAACCGUGACUUCAAACAUACCAGCUACGUGAACUACUUAAAUGAAGAACACCUACCCAUGAACAGCCAUUGGCUUUCAGUCACAAAAACAUCCAAUCUUCAGUCCUGCCAUGUGGAAAGAAGAGAACUGCCUGCCCUAAGCAUACUCUUCCAUGCCAGAGGUAUUUAAAGCACAGCUCUCAGGCCUCGAGUGGAGACACACUGCACUGUUCACUUUUUUCCCAGGUGCUCAUCCAGUGCUGUCACCAGGGCGGCUGUGGUUCUGCCCUCUGUCAGAGCAAUGGGCAUCAAGUUUUGUUGAAGCGAGAUGAAGAAACUCUAGAGAUCUGCUGUACUAUCCUUUACCUACAGUCAAACCAUAAUGCAGUGUACACCUUAAAGCGUGUCA
This is a long non-coding RNA of Tupaia belangeri chinensis (Chinese tree shrew), 559 nucleotides long. RefSeq lists it as uncharacterized. The record is from RefSeq and is a predicted model, not a curated record. Lineage: Eukaryota; Metazoa; Chordata; Mammalia; Scandentia; Tupaiidae. The transcript is spliced from 3 exons.